GGCGGCAGAACGUGCGGAGAUCUGCCGGCCCUUCUCGUUUUCGGGAGCCGCCGUUCGCCCCCCGUAACCGCGGACCAGGACGGGCGCGCGCGAGAGGCGCCGCCGCAUCUCCUCAGCGAGGGCCGCGCUCAGCCUGCUGCCUCACGCCCAGAGCUGGUUACUGAAAGCAUCCUGCGUGGUCAAACAGUACACUGAGACAGCCUUAUUUUUUUAUGAAAUGAAGUUUAAUUUUGAGACUAAUUUGGAGAGAACCGGGCCUUUUUGUCAUUUCUGGCUGCCUGAAUAGUGUGUACUGCUCCCUUCUAAAUUCACCAGUGAAACACUAAUUGGACUUUGAGUUCAGCAUACACACGUAAGUUAUUUGGAUGUAAGCAAUAACUCUUCCUGAAGCACCUCUCUACGAUGUUCUCAGGGGAACAGCAAGGCACAACCACAAUAUAUCAGUCGGUGCUAUACAAUUAUCUGCAGAAAAUCUGCCUAGUGUACUAAGAAAAUUAAUAGCACCUUUGAGAGCAGUUUGGUGAAGUGUGACCUUUUGCAGGAUAAGUACAAAAGAUGACAACAGUAGCAUUGACCAAACUGGUUUAAGUACCAUUGAGUUUGUAGUGAAGUAUGUUUUGUUAAUCUUAAUGCCUGCACAACCAUCUGCCUGCCCUGUUGUCCCAUCAUUGAUUGUGAAGGAUGGCACUUUGAUUUAUGUUUAUAAUUUUGGAAAUAAGAUGUGCAGUUAAUGUUACAACAAGGUUUGUGGUUUUGAGUACUUUUUAAGAUUUUAACAGGUACCAGCCCACUGAAGGAAUGUUCAGUGUACUGCAGUAGAAUUAGAUGUUCAGCUGUCAUGAACAGUUGAAAAGGUAACAUGUCCUGUUUUUCUGGUGUCUCAUGCCAGCCGGGCAGUGAUGGGGGUACUAAGAUGAAUGGAGAACUUCUGACCCACUCGGUUUUCUUAGGAAGUUACUCUAGUAUAAAAAUGCAUAGCUUUCCCUUUAGUAAUAUGUAUAAAUGUAGGCUUUUAGAUUGUGAGUCUCAUGACCUAGAUAUGUGUUUGCUCAAGCUUAAAUGAACGAGUUAAGGAACAUCUACAGGAAGACAGAUCUCUGCAAAAUCAUAGCAGAGCUUUGUUUUUCACCAACAGUGGCAACUUUGCUGAUGGGUGUAGUUCAUAUUUGACAUGUCAGCGUUAGUUGUUCCACAUUUGCCUAUUGAAGAAAUGCAGCUAUUUUGACUUGCACUUUACUUAAAACAUUCCAUUAAAAAGGGUGGAAAAUAGAAGGCAAAGGAGUGUUCAUAUCAUCAUAACAUUAACCAGUGAUAGUAUUAAACUAAGAAAGUAAGAAAAUAAAUGAUCUAUAUUCUCUGUUUGCUUAGCAGUGUAGCUCAAAAUAUAUAUAUUUCCUCAGCUGCCAUACACCCCAGACACUUGGGUAGGGAUGGUACAAAUGAAGCAAGGCAGUCAUGUGGAUGAUCAGGGAGGUCAGUGUUGGCUAAGUGGUUACCCCUGUAAAUCUCAUUUCUUGUAAAUCUCUCAUGUAUCUCGUAAGCCAUCAUACUACUUCUGUUUUAUUGUAUGCUUUUAGCUUGAUGAUGGUUGAUUUUUACUUGAAUUACAUGAUGCAGACUUUUGUUCUGUCAGUAUUCAGAGGCACAGCCUUUUAUCCUGGGUUACAAGUCUCUUGAGAGUCCUUGUAAAAUGCUUUUUAAGAUAAUUACACUUCCUCUUCUGUUUCUUUGUACAGCAGCUGAAGGGGUAUUCUUAAUGCCAGUGCCACCUUCCCAGUCUAGCACAGCUGGGCACUCAGUUGCCAUUUAGCCUUUCAGGGAAUGUGCUGUGGAAUUUGUGUAUUUGUUACUUGACACCAGGAGGGAAAAGCAUUUCAAAUGCAUUUCCAGCAGGAGAGUGGGUAUGUUUUGACAUUGACUUUGUUCAUGUUAAUUUGGAGGCGUUUCAAGGGGACUUAACAACUAUAUUUGUUUUUGUUUGACUUGUUGCCUUGUGACUUGCUAUCCAUCAUUACCUUUAUGUUUUCCGGCUUAUUUUCUAUCAAAUCACUAAAUCAGUAGAAAAACAUUUUAUGAACUUGUUUCAAGGAAGAAGCUUUUGGGAAAGAUGAAGUAGCAUUUGCUGAAAAUUAAGUUUAGGCUGUGCAAAUGGAAGCAUGGGUGCUUGCUGCAAGUUUUAUCCUCCCAAGUUAGUGACUUGCUGGUCUCUUGGUGAUCCAAAUGAGACCAAAUGAGGGUGAUUAUCCUUUGAUCACUUGGUGCUCCUGUUCCUCUGCUGAAGAUGACCAGUGCAUUGGGUUCUCUGGCAAGUUAUGUUAGAUAAUCACUCCAUAACCCAGUUCUGUCAAAACUAAGGAAAUGAUUCUUCUUAAAUAUGAUGGCCAACACAGGGGGAAAAAAAAAAAAAGUGUCAGAAUUGGGUGAAUGUGAUUGUGCAAACAGAAAUGUUGGCAGCUGUUAACUUCUGGAGCUGGAACGUAGCGGGCUGUCAUAGCAGUUAGCCAGUGCUGAACUGCAGCUGGAAUGGCAGGCAUCCCCACAGCCUGAUGUUACUGUUCUCUGAACAACUUUAACAUUGCCUCAACUGUCGGUCUUUUGUUUAGCAAUAUAUUUGUUGUUACGCUUGAAAUAGGUUUGCUUGUUGUCAUGGCCUAUUGAAGCUAUCUCUGUGGGCACAAGGACACCUGCUUAUCACGAUUCAGCCACUAGUUAUACUCCUGUUUGUCAGGAUUUCCCAGAGCACGGGCUCUGUAAGGACUCAGCUCCAGGCCUUGAUGUUCACACUCCAAAUACAUACUGUUAGUAUUGGGUUCUCUCACUGAGUUCGGAGCUCGUAUUACCUCUCCCAGUCCUGUCAGGUCCAUAACUUAAUAUUUCUAUCUCUAGCCUUGCAAGCACAGAUCAGUCGUGGUUCGGUUUAGAUAUUACCUGUUCCAUUGCUUACAGGGUAUUAGAUGUAAUAUAAGGCAAAACAUUUCUUCCUAAAUCAUUUGAUUACGAGGAAUCCUUUCGGGUUUUUUUGGUGCACCAUUCCAGAAAAUAGUAUUGGGGAGGAAAAAGAGAGUCCAUUACCUGCACAGAGCAAUAUUUAAAUGUGGUGUGAAUCAGUGUACAAAAGAUAAAGGGAAUAUGGAGGGUUUGUUUUGGUUUGGUUUUUGAGAAAAAGCGGCUCUCCUGUCUGAGCUGUUACCCAGAAGAUGGAAACUGUCUCAGCUCCUGCUGAAAACCAGGUGGAAUGUUUAGAGCUUGAGGGUAAUCUGAAGGUGACAGAAGAAAACCUGUUUCUGAUUUAUUUUAUUUUAUUUUUUUUAGAACACGGUGCUGGAAGAAGCUAGUAGCUCAUGGGUCCCUUCAUAACUCUUUUCAGAACAAAGUGUCUUUUGGGAUGUCUGAAAACAGCAUUGAGUUUGAAGGAGACCAGACUGUCAGUGCAUUUUGGUCCUUCCUUCCUUAAGGAGUAAUAUUUGAACACGAUAUCAGCUCAAGACUUAAGAAGCAAUGUAGGUGGCUUGCGAGUCUCACCUUUGGGUGCAAUAGAAGAAGCAGAGGAGAGAGGAGCGUUUGUAGCUCUUGUGAACUUCUGUUCACUGAUGUCAGCUUAUAUAUCUUACUUUUUUAAAGAAGGGUAGCAAAUAGGAGAGGAGAGUCCAGAGAGAGCUGCAGUAAAUUCCCCUGCAGACAGAGGAGGGAGCAGGAGCUGUAGCACCAUACUGCUCCAGAAGCCCACAGCCAGGUUGUACAGAAGGCCUGGGAGUUAGGAUUGCUUUCUGAGCAACUUGCUCAGGCUGUUUUUCAUGCUCAUGUGGCUUUUUUUACAUCUGUUACUGUGCCAGUUUCUUUUGAGUGCAUAUAU
RNAcentral lists this long non-coding RNA (3853 nucleotides) under Gallus gallus (chicken). Lineage: Eukaryota; Metazoa; Chordata; Aves; Galliformes; Phasianidae. The record is from RNAcentral.